UGACCUGUAGCUCAAUUGGCAGAGCGCGGAGCUGUUAACUCCGAGGUUUCAGGUUCGACCCCUGAUAGGUCAG
RNAcentral lists this transfer RNA (73 nucleotides) under Arthrobacter sp. RNAcentral describes it as "tRNA-Asn". It matches the Rfam family "tRNA". Rfam says of the family: Transfer RNA (tRNA) molecules are approximately 80 nucleotides in length. Their secondary structure includes four short double-helical elements and three loops (D, anti-codon, and T loops). Further hydrogen bonds mediate the characteristic L-shaped molecular structure. tRNAs have two regions of fundamental functional importance: the anti-codon, which is responsible for specific mRNA codon recognition, and the 3' end, to which the tRNAs corresponding amino acid is attached (by aminoacyl-tRNA synthetases). tRNAs cope with the degeneracy of the genetic code in two manners: having more than one tRNA (with a specific anti-codon) for a particular amino acid; and 'wobble' base-pairing, i.e. permitting non-standard base-pairing at the 3rd anti-codon position. The record is from RNAcentral. Lineage: Bacteria; Bacillati; Actinomycetota; Actinomycetes; Micrococcales; Micrococcaceae.